AGUAGAGUGGCGGACGGGUGAGUAACGCGUAGGAACCUACCUGGUAGCGGGGGACAACCUGGUGAAAACCAGGCUAAUACCGCCUACGCCCUACGGGGGAAAGCAGGGGAUCUUCGGACCUUGCACUAUCAGAUGGGCCUGCGUCGGAUUAGCUAGUUGGUGAGGUAAUGGCUCACCAAGGCGACGAUCCGUAGCUGGUUUGAGAGAAUGAUCAGCCACACUGGGACUGAGACACGGACCAG
This 242-nucleotide ribosomal RNA is filed under the name uncultured bacterium. RNAcentral's name for it is "partial 16S ribosomal RNA". It matches the Rfam family "Bacterial small subunit ribosomal RNA", at positions 89 to 334 of the family's 1533-position model. The record is from RNAcentral.